ACGAACGCUGGCGGCGUGCCUAAUACAUGCAAGUCGAACGCUUCUUUCCUCCCGAGUGCUUGCACUCAAUUGGAAAGAGGAGUGGCGGACGGGUGAGUAACACGUGGGUAACCUACCCAUCAGAGGGGGAUAACACUUGGAAACAGGUGCUAAUACCGCAUAACAGUUUAUGCCGCAUGGCCUAAGAGUGAAAGGCGCUUUCGGGUGUCGCUGAUGGAUGGACCCGCGGUGCAUUAGCUAGUUGGUGAGGUAACGGCUCACCAAGGCCACGAUGCAUAGCCGACCUGAGAGGAUGAUCGGCCACACUGGGACUGAGACACGGCCCAGACUCCUACGGGAGGCAGCAGUAGGGAAUCUUCGGCAAUGGGCGAAAGUCUGACCGAGCAACGCCGCGUGAGUGAAGAAGGUUUUCGGAUCGUAAAACUCUGUUGUUAGAGAAGAACAAGGACGUUAGUAACUGAACGUCCCCUGACGGUAUCUAACCAGAAAGCCACGGCUAACUACGUG
RNAcentral lists this ribosomal RNA (507 nucleotides) under uncultured bacterium. RNAcentral describes it as "partial 16S ribosomal RNA". It matches the Rfam family "Bacterial small subunit ribosomal RNA", at positions 29 to 507 of the family's 1533-position model. The record is from RNAcentral.